This 414-nucleotide ribosomal RNA is filed under the name uncultured microorganism. RNAcentral describes it as "bacterial SSU rRNA". It matches the Rfam family "Archaeal small subunit ribosomal RNA", at positions 459 to 872 of the family's 1478-position model. The record is from RNAcentral.
CAGCCGCCGCGGUAAUACCGGCGGCCCGAGUGGCGGUCACUAUUAUUGGGCUUAAAGCGUCCGUAGCCGGGGUGGGAAGGCCUCCGGGAAAUCUGGCCGCUUAACGGUCAGAAUGCCGGAGGAUACUCCCAGCCUAGGGAGCGGGAGAGGCCGAGGGGAUUCCCGGAGUAGGGGUGAAAUCCUAUAAUCCCGGGAGGACCACCUGUGGCGAAGGCGCUCGGCUGGAACGCGUCCGACGGUGAGGGACGAAGGCCAGGGGAGCAAACCGGAUUAGAUACCCGGGUAGUCCUGGCUGUAAACGAUGCGGACUUUGUGUCGGACAAGCUAUGAGCUUGUCCGGUGCCGGAGGGAAACCGUUAAGUCCGCCGCCUGGGGAGUACGGCCGCAAGGCUGAAACUUAAAGGAAUUGGCGGG